Molecule: long non-coding RNA, 805 nt
Organism: Lolium rigidum
Lineage: Eukaryota; Viridiplantae; Streptophyta; Magnoliopsida; Poales; Poaceae
Exons: 4
Source: RefSeq, a predicted model, not a curated record
CGGAGAUGGCGUCCGGCGCAGCGCCUGGGGUACCUCAUGAAUGUCUCCCGCCACCGCAAACACUAUGCAGGUUGGAGCGCGGUGCGUAAACCAUCAGCCAAGGACAGGCUUACCAAUGGCAAGGCUGAUUGCCUCCAAGACCAGGAGUAUGUCCUUAUUUAUGAAGACAAGGAAGACGAUGCUAGUUGGUCACCUUCGGUGGGAUAUCCUUACUACUAUCUGCCGGAAACUGAAAAGCAUGAGAGGAUCUGAUGUUGCUGGAAUAGGCGCUUUUGAUCUUUAUAUAUUACAGAACAUAAAGAAGAUCAGCAAAGGAUCAAAAGCUCACAUAAAAUAUUUGCUGUAUUUCAGAGUAUGCUGAAGCAAGUUUUCGGUGAAAGUGAUUCCAAUCAAGUGGUGCCCCAAGUGGAUGGCACUGUGAAGGAGGUCAUCCACCGUGGCCCUUUGAUGAUCGAGGGCAAUUGCUUUCUACCCUGACGAUGACGAAGACCUGAGCCGCAAGCACAAAUUUAAUAUCUGGCGUGGCAAGAUCGAUGGCAGAGGUCCUGGUCUUUAUGAUGAGGCAUCAUUGGAAUUUGCUAUGAUCCUUCUCUCCGGUGUUUACUUCAGUUUAUAAUGUUUCGGACUAGCUGUUUUUUUAUUCAGUUUGAAACUACCAAUGUUUACUUCAGUUUGUCAUUCUGUUUGAUUGAGAAAUCUGUCAUCUAAGAUAGUUAUCUUGAUUGAUUCAGAAUACUCUUUAUCCUACUUUUGAAAUAGUUCAAUUGCACACUGAAACUCGUUGUCGGCAUGUUGUAUGCAGAGA